This is a long non-coding RNA of Bactrocera tryoni, 257 nucleotides long. RefSeq lists it as uncharacterized. The record is from RefSeq and is a predicted model, not a curated record. NCBI's taxonomy places the organism in Eukaryota, Metazoa, Arthropoda, Insecta, Diptera, Tephritidae. The transcript is spliced from 2 exons.
AUGUCAUCAUUAUGCAUCAAGAAUUUUUGUACUGCGCGCCAAUAAUGGAUGAAGAGAGUGAAAAAUUAAAUUCACCGGUUACACAAUUGCUUGUAAGGUCCCGACUUGACUAAGAGCCCGAGUUUGCUGGCGGGGAAAAGGAAAAAUUCCGUCGUAUGGGGUAAGGUCCUCGACAAUAUGCGUUUUAUAAAUCCGGAAGUGUCGCAAACAAAAGAGUUUAUGCAAAGGAAAUUUUUAAAUUUGUUUGCGACGUAUAA